CCUGGCUAACAACAUGGCGGCCGUCAGUCCGUCAGACCCGGGGAAUGCGCUUCCCAGGGACGUGGUGAUCAAGACGGAGCCGGAGCUGGAGGCGGAGACGGAGGGCGGGCUGGUGCUCGGGUCGGAGGGGGCGCCGGUGAGGCGGGACCCCGUGGUGCCGCUCCUGUCCCCGGUCAGCGGGCUGCAGCCGCUCGCCUGGUCGCAGGAUCACCGCCUGGCCGUGUGCACCACCAGCUCCCUGGCGCUGAUGGAGCUGGUGUGCGACGUUCAGAGCGGGAAACAGGAGCUGAUGCUGCACCGGACCUCCAUCCCCGUCCCCGGCGAGGCCACCAGACUGCGGGUGGGAACAGUGGAAGAGCAUAAACAAAUGGUGGAGAACUUCAGCAGGCAUCCGGUCCCCACCGUGAGGCAAGUUUUUCUGGCCGACAGAGUGAUGAACCCGUCAGUGGUUGCGCACAAGGGAAUAAAGUAUUCCAGUUGGUCUCCGUUAGGUUGUGACUCCGAUGGACGGUGUUUGCUCGCAUGCCUAACGCUGGACCACAGACUUACUAUUCAUAACAGCCACAAGCGACUCGAGUGGAGCAUGCUCGUCAAUCUCACAAAGAAGUACAGUGAGAGGUUAAAGGAGCGAGGCUACGCCAGAAAAGACAACGAGCCGCCGCAGGAAAACCUGCAGGACUUUGAGGAGGUGCAGCGGCGCUUCCGCAUGCAAACGCCCCUGAGGAUGGAGUGGUCAAGCAUUUACACGACCAAACAGGUUCAGCCGGACAACACGGGCACGGACCUGGAGAUGGUCCUCCUGGCUGUCUUGAUGGAGAACGGCGACCUUGUUUUGUGGAAGUUUGAUUUGCCGUUUUCAAACGGGGACGAUGUCGUGUUUUAUGACAUCAUUGAAUCUGGUGUGAUUCGACCCAGUAACUUGGCGUGGUGGGAGUAUGAAAACGCGGAUCGCCGGAUGAGCGGCCUGAUCAUCGGCAGUGAGGUGGGACCAGUUAAGAUCAUGCCGGUCAGCCUGACGGGAGUGAAGGGCUACUUCACCCUGAAGCACCCUGUCAUCCUCUGGAAGGACUGCGACGAGAUAGCUGUGGAAAACAUCAAAUGCGUCCAGAUGAUCCAUCCGAUCCAUAAAUGCAGCUGCAGCCUCAUCGUCGCCUCUCGAGGAUGUUACGUCUUCUGGUGUCUGCUCAUGAUUUCACCGGCCGGACUUAACGUGCACAACUCUCACGUGGUGGGGCUUCACUCGCUCCCCGUGGUCUCCCUAGCCGUCAGUCAACAUGGCGUUGCAGUGUAUUCAUGCUCCAUAGACGGGUGUAUAAAGAAGCUGACACCUACAUUUACUGAGAAUACUUUGAUUUUCAAACAAGACGACAUGAUGCGACUUGACAACCUGACAGGGCGGCGGAUACAUGGGAUUGCGGUAAGCCACAAUGGAGCGUAUAUUGCGAUGGUCAGCACACAAGGUAUGGUGAACAGCCACAAUCCGAUCACCAGGACCUACCAGGUGCACUUUUUGAGCCUGAAAACGCCAGAAACUGCAGCAGCUCUUCUGCUUAAGUCUCCCGUACAGAACUUGUACAAACUGGCCGACCUGCUGGACAUUGUGAGGUGGCAAAUUCUGAAAAACAAGUGCAUCCCUUCAGCACUGCAGGAAGAGCUUGACCAAAAGAUGCAAGAUGUAGACUCGCCCUACUUGUGGCGUUUCAAGCUGUUUUUGGUUCGUAUACUUUACAAGUCUCUGCAGUCACCUCCGACAGAUCAUCUCUGGAAACCCAGCCAAGAGGGAAGCAAGGUGUUUGUUAGGGACGCAGAGGCAGACGAGGAGGACGGAGAGGACGAAGAAGACUGUGUGCUAGAGGAAGGCGAGUCUGUCGGAGGGAAGCCGGAGAAGGAGGACAAUCGCGAGGAGCAGUUGGCGGAGGUGCAGGCUUGGGUUAACUCCGUAGAGAGUCACCUGAUGAGAGAGAACAUGAAGAAGGUGCUGGGGGUGGUGUACCUGAACACCUGGAUCGCUCAGAACACCAGUAUACCCACCUGUGGCCUGGUGGAGUACCUCGCCAAAGACACUAACGACAGAAAUUCAGAGAUCCUGAUUGGCCACAUGAAGAAAAAGAUUAACAAACAGACGUUCCCGGAGCACUGCAGCCUGUGUCAGGCCGUGCUUCCCUUCACCGACCACAAACAAGCGAUCUGUGAAAACGGUCACAUGUGGCUCAGCCUCAGGGGAAGCGCAGGUGCCACAUCGGUUCAGACGCCAGACAGUCGGGAUGUGAAUUGAAUCUUUGACGGUUUAUUUGUCUUCACAGAGCAGUAAUCAAGCCUCCCACCUCUUGAUAUUUACCCAUGCACCACUCUCAUCGUCUCAUAAAUAUUAUCUGUCAAAUAUUUCUCCUUCCUUCCUCGCCGACUGGGAUGCGGUGGCUCCGCUGGGCACUGGGAGAGAAAUCUGUGCCCCUUCAGUUGCACCUCGGCGCUGCCUCUGCUCUACUUUUGUGUUUGUGCGUGUGAGCCUGUGUGUGUGUGUCUGUCCCUGCCAGCCCGCUCUCUUAAUGCCGUUCUCUCGGUCUCCUGCAGGUGUGUGUUGUCAUACCAGGCCUGCCAGACGCUGACGUUCAGACGUUGCCUCCUGCUGGAUAGCAUCGCCAGACUGCCAAAGCCUGAGGAUCCGGAUUGGAUAAAGAAGAUUCUGCAGGCGCCCUGCACGCUCUGCGACUCGCCGAUGAU
RNA transcript from Platichthys flesus (European flounder), 2721 nucleotides. It is a transcript of the gene named general transcription factor IIIC, polypeptide 4, with no coding region annotated. NCBI's taxonomy places the organism in Eukaryota, Metazoa, Chordata, Actinopteri, Pleuronectiformes, Pleuronectidae. The transcript is spliced from 5 exons. The record is from RefSeq and is a predicted model, not a curated record.